UGUCAAUGGUAAGCGCACCAAGCAUCGCGCGGGAGCAUUAAGGAAUUGACAACCAUAC
Molecule: small RNA, 58 nt
Filed under: Jeotgalibaca arthritidis
Lineage: Bacteria; Bacillati; Bacillota; Bacilli; Lactobacillales; Carnobacteriaceae
Description: Bacillus-plasmid RNA
Rfam family: Bacillus-plasmid RNA
Source: RNAcentral